RNAcentral lists this ribosomal RNA (460 nucleotides) under uncultured bacterium. RNAcentral's name for it is "partial 16S ribosomal RNA". It matches the Rfam family "Bacterial small subunit ribosomal RNA", at positions 338 to 795 of the family's 1533-position model. The record is from RNAcentral.
CCUACGGGAGUCAGCAGUGAGGAAUAUUGGUCAAUGGGCGGAAGCCUGAACCAGCCAAGUCGCGUGAGGGAUUAAGGCCCUGCGGGUCGUAAACCUCUUUUGCCGGGGAGCAGAGGUCCGGACGUGUCCGGGCCGGGAGAGUACCCGGAGAAAAAGCAUCGGCUAACUCCGUGCCAGCAGCCGCGGUAAUACGGAGGAUGCGAGCGUUAUCCGGAUUUAUUGGGUUUAAAGGGUGCGUAGGCGGGCAUUUAAGCCGGCGGUCAAAUGUCGGGGCUCAACCCCGGCCUGCCGUCGGGACUGGGUGCCUUGAGUGGGCGAGAAGUAUGCGGAACGCGUGGUGUAGCGGUGAAAUGCAUAGAUAUCACGCAGAACCCCGAUUGCGAAGGCCGCAUACCGGCGCCCUACUGACGCUGAGGCACGAAAGUGCGGGUAUCGAACAGGAUUAGAUACCCUAGUAGUC